RNAcentral lists this unclassified non-coding RNA (278 nucleotides) under uncultured Glomerales. RNAcentral describes it as "sequence contains 5.8S rRNA gene, ITS2, 28S rRNA gene". The stretch from base 1 to 52 matches the Rfam family "5.8S ribosomal RNA", at positions 103 to 154 of the family's 154-position model. Lineage: Eukaryota; Fungi; Glomeromycota; Glomeromycetes; Glomerales; Glomeraceae. The record is from RNAcentral.
AACGCAAAUUGCACUUUCUGGUAUUCCGGAAAGUAUGCCUGUUUGAGGGUCAGUUAAAUAAAAAUCGGUGUUAUUGCUAUUAAUGGUGAUGCAUCGGAAUUGAGUCGUCUUUACCUUUGGUUUAAGUGACUUAAAAUUAUGUACGAUUUUUGAACGUAUUUAAAUUAUUUACUUACGCUCAUGAUAUCACAUAUUAGGUGCGGUCAUCCACAUGAUUUCGCGUCUAUAAUUUUUCAUUAUUUGACCUCAAAUCAGGUAAGAAUACCCGCUGAACUUAA